RNAcentral lists this ribosomal RNA (292 nucleotides) under uncultured bacterium. RNAcentral describes it as "partial 16S ribosomal RNA". It matches the Rfam family "Bacterial small subunit ribosomal RNA", at positions 505 to 796 of the family's 1533-position model. The record is from RNAcentral.
GUGUCAGCAGCCGCGGUAAUACGAAGGGGGCUAGCGUUACUCGGAAUUACUGGGCGUAAAGGGCGCGUAGGCGGCUUGGUAAGUCAGGCGUGAAAUUCCCGGGCUCAACCUGGGGACUGCGCUUGAGACUGCUGGGCUAGAGGAUGGAAGAGGGUCGUGGAAUUCCCAGUGUAGAGGUGAAAUUCGUAGAUAUUGGGAAGAACACCGGUGGCGAAGGCGGCGACCUGGUCCAUUACUGACGCUGAGGCGCGACAGCGUGGGGAGCAAACAGGAUUAGAUACCCUAGUAGUCC